CCUACGGGUGGCAGCAGUGGGGAAUAUUGGACAAUGGGCGAAAGCCUGAUCCAGCCAUGCCGCGUGUGUGAAGAAGGCCUUCGGGUUGUAAAGCACUUUCAGUGGGGAAGAAAGCCUUGGGGCUAAUACCCUCGAGGAAGGACAUCACCCACAGAAGAAGCACCGGCUAACUCCGUGCCAGCAGCCGCGGUAAUACGGAGGGUGCGAGCGUUAAUCGGAAUUACUGGGCGUAAAGCGCGCGUAGGCGGUCUGAUAAGCCGGUUUGUGAAAGCCCCGGGCUCAACCUGGGAACGGCAUCCGGAACUGUCAGGCUAGAGUGCAGGAGAGGAAGGUAGAAUUCCCGGUGUAGCGGUGAAAUGCGUAGAGAUCGGGAGGAAUACCAGUGGCGAAGGCGGCCUUCUGGACUGACACUGACGCUGAGGUGCGAAAGCGUGGGUAGCAAACAGGAUUAGAUACCCCAGUAGUC
This 466-nucleotide ribosomal RNA is filed under the name Vreelandella stevensii. RNAcentral's name for it is "partial 16S ribosomal RNA". It matches the Rfam family "Bacterial small subunit ribosomal RNA", at positions 338 to 795 of the family's 1533-position model. Lineage: Bacteria; Pseudomonadati; Pseudomonadota; Gammaproteobacteria; Oceanospirillales; Halomonadaceae. The record is from RNAcentral.